AGGGAAUCUUCCGCAAUGGACGAAAGUCUGACGGAGCAACGCCGCGUGAGUGAUGAAGGUUUCCGGAUCGUAAAACUCUGUUGUUAGGGAAGAACAAGUACCGUUCGAAUAGGGCGGCACCUUGACGGUACCUAACCAGAAAGCCACGGCUAACUACGUGCCAGCAGCCGCGGUAAUACGUAGGUGGCAAGCGUUGUCCGGAAUUAUUGGGCGUAAAGCGCGCGCAGGCGGUUUCUUAAGUCUGAUGUGAAAGCCCCCGGCUCAACCGGGGAGGGUCAUUGGAAACUGGGGAACUUGAGUGCAGAAGAGGAGAGUGGAAUUCCACGUGUAGCGGUGAAAUGCGUAGAGAUGUGGAGGAACACCAGUGGCGAAGGCGGCUCUCAGGUCUGUAACUGACGCUGAGGCGCGAAAGCGUGGGGAGCAAAC
Molecule: ribosomal RNA, 426 nt
Filed under: uncultured bacterium
Lineage: Bacteria
Description: bacterial SSU rRNA
Rfam family: Bacterial small subunit ribosomal RNA
Source: RNAcentral